Molecule: unclassified non-coding RNA, 306 nt
Filed under: fungal sp.
Lineage: Eukaryota; Fungi
Description: partial internal transcribed spacer region
Rfam family: Eukaryotic small subunit ribosomal RNA (bases 1-46)
Source: RNAcentral
AAGUCGUAACAAGGUUUCCGUAGGUGAACCUGCGGAAGGAUCAUUAACAAAUUCACCAAAAUAUGGAGAAUUUAAAAAAAAAUCCAUACCCACCUUUUUAUGUGCACCGUAAAUGUUUAUAACUUUUGGUAGACACUUUUUAUUUCAUAAGAGGGUGUCUGCCAAAAGUUUUUUACUCCUUUCCCUUAAUAAAAAGGAAGGUAAAAAAAAAUAAAUAAACGCGUCUAAAUAAUUGUCUGAAAAUUUCAAAAAACAAAAUAAAAUUUGAAAAUAUAACAACUUUCAGCAACGGAUCUCUAGGCUCUU